This 24-nucleotide non-coding RNA is filed under the name Arabidopsis thaliana (thale cress). Lineage: Eukaryota; Viridiplantae; Streptophyta; Magnoliopsida; Brassicales; Brassicaceae. The record is from RNAcentral.
AUAAAUGAUUAAAGAUGGCAUGAU